RNAcentral lists this ribosomal RNA (253 nucleotides) under uncultured bacterium. Its description in RNAcentral is "partial 16S ribosomal RNA". It matches the Rfam family "Bacterial small subunit ribosomal RNA", at positions 524 to 776 of the family's 1533-position model. The record is from RNAcentral.
UACGAAGGGGGCUAGCGUUGUUCGGAGUUACUGGGCGUAAAGGGCGCGUAGGCGGUCCUGCAAGUCGGGUGUGAAAGCCCACGGCUCAACCGUGGAAUUGCACUCGAGACUGAAGGGCUCGAGGACGGGAGAGGAUGGUGGAAUUCCCAGUGUAGAGGUGAAAUUCGUAGAUAUUGGGAAGAACACCGGUGGCGAAGGCGGCCAUCUGGACCGUAUCUGACGCUGAGGCGCGAAAGCGUGGGGAGCAAACAGG